UCACUGGUAGUCCAGUGGUUAGGACUCCAUGUUUCCACGGCAUGGGGCCUGGGUUCGAUCCCUAGCUGGGGAA
This 73-nucleotide transfer RNA is filed under the name Bos taurus (domestic cattle). It matches the Rfam family "tRNA". From Rfam's summary of the family: Transfer RNA (tRNA) molecules are approximately 80 nucleotides in length. Lineage: Eukaryota; Metazoa; Chordata; Mammalia; Artiodactyla; Bovidae. RNAcentral also lists the same sequence under 5 other names. The record is from Rfam by way of RNAcentral.